UACUACAGCCAUACCACCCUCAAUGCAGCGGAUCUAGUGUGAUCUCAGAAGCUAAGCAGGGUCGGGCCUGGUUAGUACUUGGUUGGGAGACCACCUAGGAAUACCAGGUGCUGUAGGCG
Molecule: ribosomal RNA, 119 nt
Filed under: Pteropus alecto (black flying fox)
Lineage: Eukaryota; Metazoa; Chordata; Mammalia; Chiroptera; Pteropodidae
Source: RNAcentral